GACCGUGUGGCUUAGCGGAUAAGGCGUCGGACUUCGGAUUUGAAGAUUACAGGUUCCAGUCCUAACGCGGUCA
This is a non-coding RNA of Papilio machaon (common yellow swallowtail), 73 nucleotides long. The record is from Rfam. NCBI's taxonomy places the organism in Eukaryota, Metazoa, Arthropoda, Insecta, Lepidoptera, Papilionidae.